Molecule: non-coding RNA, 296 nt
Organism: Schizosaccharomyces pombe (fission yeast)
Lineage: Eukaryota; Fungi; Ascomycota; Schizosaccharomycetes; Schizosaccharomycetales; Schizosaccharomycetaceae
Source: the annotation of a GenBank genome assembly
AGGUAAGUAGUCAUCUUACGUUUAAAUGAAGAUGAAGAUAAGGCAAUUAAAAUAUGUAAAAGAUAGGCGUUAAAAGACGUUUCGAUUGAUGACAACCUAAUCAAAUCGGUAUAACAUGAUGAAAAAUGUAAACUUGGUUCAGUGGCCCAAACAUUUAAAACAAUAGGCAGCAGCCGUAAAAAAUAAAUGAGGUAGAUCAACAGGACGAAUUAGAUGGUGCUUGAUUGCUCGUUGCAAAUUGAUAAAAGGAUUCGCGAGAAACAUUGGAAAAUGGCCCCAAGAAAAAGCAAAGGCAU